Molecule: ribosomal RNA, 433 nt
Filed under: uncultured bacterium
Lineage: Bacteria
Description: partial 16S ribosomal RNA
Rfam family: Bacterial small subunit ribosomal RNA
Source: RNAcentral
AACGAACGCUGGCGGCAGGCCUAACACAUGCAAGUCGAGCGCGCCCUUCGUGAUAAGCGGCGGACGGGUGCGUAACGCGUGGGAACGUUCCCUUUUCUACGGAAUAGUCUCGUGAAACUGAGAGUAAUACCGUAUACCCCCUUUGGGGGAAAGAUUUAUCGUAAAAGGAUCGGCCCGCGAUGGAUUAGGUAUUUGGUGUGGGAAUGGCCUACCAAGCCGACGAUCCAUAGCUGGUUUGAGAGAAUGAGCAGCGACACUUGGGAUGAGAAACGGCCCAGACUACUACGGGAUGGGGCAGUGGGUGAUCUUAGAAAAUGGGGGGAACACAGAAGUAGCCAUGCCGCGUGAGUGAUGAAGGUCUUAAGGAGGUACAGCUCUUUAAGCUGCGAAGAUAAUGACGGUACCAACAGAAGAAGCACCGGCUAACUCCGUG